RNAcentral lists this transfer RNA (73 nucleotides) under Porphyra crispata. RNAcentral describes it as "tRNA-Val". It matches the Rfam family "tRNA". Rfam says of the family: Transfer RNA (tRNA) molecules are approximately 80 nucleotides in length. Their secondary structure includes four short double-helical elements and three loops (D, anti-codon, and T loops). Lineage: Eukaryota; Rhodophyta; Bangiophyceae; Bangiales; Bangiaceae. RNAcentral also lists the same sequence under 1 other name. The record is from RNAcentral.
AAGUAAUUAGCUCAAUGGUUAGAGCAUUUUGUUUACACCAAAAUGGUUAUGGGUUCAAGUCCCUUAUUACUUA